RNAcentral lists this ribosomal RNA (534 nucleotides) under uncultured bacterium. RNAcentral's name for it is "bacterial SSU rRNA". It matches the Rfam family "Bacterial small subunit ribosomal RNA", at positions 34 to 610 of the family's 1533-position model. The record is from RNAcentral.
CGCUGGCGGCAUGCUUACACAUGCAAGUCGAACGCUCUGGCUUCGGCCAGGGAGUGGCGCACGGGUGAGUAGCGCGUGGGAACCUGCCCUGAAGUGGGGAUAACCGAGGGAAACUUCGGCUAAUACCGCAUACGCCGGGAAACCGGGAAAGAUUUAUCGCUUUAGGAGGGGCCCGCGUCGGAUUAGCUAGUUGGUGGGGUAACGGCCUACCAAGGCAAUGAUCCGUAGCUGGUCUGAGAGGAUGAUCAGCCACACUGGGACUGAGACACGGCCCAGACUCCUACGGGAGGCAGCAGUGGGGAAUAUUGGACAAUGGGCGCAAGCCUGAUCCAGCAAUGCCGCGUGAGUGAGGAAGGCCUUAGGGUUGUAAAGCUCUUUCGCACGCGACGAUGAUGACGGUAGCGUGAGAAGAAGCCCCGGCUAACUUCGUGCCAGCAGCCGCGGUAAUACGAAGGGGGCGAGCGUUGUUCGGAUUUACUGGGCGUAAAGGGCGCGCAGGCGGCGAUUUUUGUCAGGCGUGAAAGCCCCGGGCUC